This 469-nucleotide long non-coding RNA is filed under the name Panax ginseng (ginseng). RNAcentral describes it as "long non-coding RNA (PGIN_LNC001805)". Lineage: Eukaryota; Viridiplantae; Streptophyta; Magnoliopsida; Apiales; Araliaceae. The record is from RNAcentral.
AAGAAACCUUCGUACAUGGGAGGCCAUGCAUCUAAGUUAUGAUAGACAUCUUAUGACUCGAAAAUUAUCAUUGGUUGACCCAAUAGACCCCAAAGAAAAAUGAAAAGAUUACUAUCAUGUUCUUUUCAAUGGUGAGUCUUCUCUUAACAUAUAAUUAUCUUCAUUGUCUCCAAUUGAGAAUUAUAUUUCAACCAAACUCCAAGAUUAUAUAGGUAGUGCUCAUAGAUAUAAUCAGCAAGUGCAUGUGUACAACCUUGUCUUAUGAUAACAUGAAGUCGUCUGUCAUUAGACAUCUUGUAUGAUAGUAGCAAAACACCCUUCCAAAGUUGGGUUCACCUCACCCUAUUCCAUUCACAAAAAUCAACGUAUAAAAUGAUGUAUAAAAUAUGACACACUUAUCCAAAAUUCUCAAUAAAAUUAUUUCCUUACUGUUUUAGGGGAAACCUCAACAGCUAUAGACCAUCGUUUU